RNAcentral lists this unclassified non-coding RNA (2793 nucleotides) under Hevea brasiliensis (rubber tree). The record is from RNAcentral. Lineage: Eukaryota; Viridiplantae; Streptophyta; Magnoliopsida; Malpighiales; Euphorbiaceae.
CGCCAAUCUACUACUCCUCCUUUGCCACUAUGACCACGCCACUGUGCUCCUUGAGACAACUUACCGCCACCCACUCUUGGCUCCGUAGACUCCAUAAGCUUCAAAAGCUCCACUCGCUAGCAUCUCUCAAUCCUUCUUCCAUCUCUCAAUACCCGCAAGGACAGGAGCAGCGGCAACAAGAAAGAGCACAGAAAACCCAACAAAACCUACUUAUUAACAACAAGAAGAAGGAUAGUAUUGUAUCAGAUGUGGAUAACAAUAGUUCUAGCUCAUUUUUUCCUAAGAGAGGCCAGACUUUGGAGUUGGUUUGCGAGUCUUUGGCUUUCAAGGGGAAGGGUGUGUGCAAAGUGGCAGAUACUGGAUUUGUUGUAAUGUGUGACCGGGCACUCCCUGGUGAAAGGUUCAUUGGGCGGGUUACUCGCAGAAAGGGAAGUUAUGCAGAGGUAACCAAGGUGAAGACAAUAUCUCCUCAUUUGGAUAUUAUAGAUGCCCCUUGUGAGUACGCAUCAUAUUGUGGGGGUUGUAAGACACAAAAUCUGUCAUAUGAGGCUCAGCUUAGAGCUAAGGAGCAGCAAGUUCUUGAGUUGAUGACACAUGUUGGAAAGUUUUCAGAUAAAGAUCUGGAUAUGAAGUCUAUUGUUCCCUGUGAUAUUCAAUUUCAUUAUAGAAAUAAGAUGGAGUUCUCAUUUGGUUCUCAAAAAUGGUUACCUAGAGAUUUGCUAGGAGAGAAACAAGAUGGCGUUGAGAACUUUGCAUUAGGACUGCAUGCUCCAGGCUUUUUUGAUAAGGUUCUAAACGUUGAUAAGUGCUUGUUACAAAGUGAGCCUGCUAACAAGGUAAACAGGAAUUCAAUAUUUGAUGGAAGGUUUUAGAGACUAGCUUAAUUUGAAGACAGUUUUGACAAGUAUAUUCUCCAUGACAUCAACUUCGAAGGCAGUAAUGUUGACACCAAAGUGUUGCACUAAUUUCUUUUAAUGUUAUAGUGUUCACAUUUAUUUACUUCUAUUGCCGAUUUUCGUCCUUAUUGUGAUAUUAUGUAAGCUGGCAUAAAAUGCAAUCAAUCAAGGUACAAUUGUUGCCUGUUUUACUGUUAUUACACAUCUAAAACUCAGUAUCUAUGUGCUAUGUUCAUAAGGAUAAAGGAAAUGGGAAAAAAGCAAAGCAGAGAAAAAAAUCACUUGAAUAUCUGAAGCAUUUUUGGAUUUUCUUCCUAAUUUACACCAUUUUGGCAACUUUUCCUUGUAGUUGAAUAGUUUCUAAGUUAACUCAUCACUUUUGAAUAUCUUGUUAGCAGUACGUGCUACAGGAUUUAUGUAAUACGAAUUGUAUUUUUCCUGUCAUCUUUGACUUGCAUUUCUGGUAAAUAGGUUCUGGCAACCAUCCAGGAUUUUUGGAGAGAUCCACAAUUAGGCCUUACUCCUUAUGAUAUUAAAUCUCAUGUUGGGUUUCUCAAGCAUCUAAUGCUAAGAACUGGAAGGAAUUCUAAGACUGGCUUGCUUGAGCUCAUGGUUAACUUUGUCACCUCAUCUUACAAUCCACAGCUGCUGAAGCCUCUAGUUGAAAAGAUUUCAGCUAUUCCAGAAGUGGUAAGCAUCAUGAAUAAUGUAAAUUCUUCUGUUGGCAACACGUCUGUUGGGGAGGAGGAAUACACUUUGUAUGGAAAAUCCACUAUCACUGAAAUCUUAAGAGGACUUACGUUCCAAAUUUCAGCCAACUCUUUUUUUCAAACAAAUACACGUCAGGUACAUUGAAUGGCAUAAAUUGAAUGUUAUUUCAUGGUUGCUUUCAUGCUUUUACACAAAACUCCCCCUCCAUAAUCUUUUUGUUUCCUUUAUUUUCUUGAUAUAUAAUGUCUAUAAUCUGUAAAUGGAAAGAUUUUAUUAUACUGUAUAGGCAGAGGUUCUGUAUAAACUUAUUGAAGAUUGUGCUGGUCUCAGAGGAGAUAGCUCUGAAAUUGUUCUUGACCUAUUUUGUGGUACUGGAACCAUUGGACUGACACUUGCCAGAAGGGCUAAAAAUGUUUAUGGCUAUGAAGUUGUUCCUCAAGCGAUCUCUGACGCUCGUAAAAAUGCUGAGCUGAAUGGUAUCACUAAUGCUACAUUUGUGCAAGGGGAUCUUAACAAAAUUGGUGAAAAUUUUGGCAACAAUUUUCCAAAGCCUGACAUUGUCAUUUCAGAUCCAAAUCGUCCUGGUAUGCACAUGAAGUUGAUUAAAUUUCUGUUAAAGCUUAAAGCUCCAUGCAUUGUUUAUGUAUCAUGUAAUCCAGCCACAUGUGCACGAGACCUUGAUUACCUUUGCCAUGGUUUGAAAGAGCAAAAUAUAGAAGGAUGUUACAAACUUAAAAGCCUGCAGCCAGUAGACAUGUUUCCUCACACCCCUCACAUCGAGUGUGUUUGCCUAUUAGAACUUUGCUGACCGCUGCUUGUAAUCAAGCACCUGACAUGCAGAGGAUGAUAGCAAAAGUAGGUCUCAACAGAAUGAAUCUUAGUUUUACCUUCAUUAUUGGAGCUUAAAGAGAAACUUUUAUAGGUGAAGCAAGCAGCAGAUUCUUGCCCAUUUUUCUGUAUAGAGGUUUCAUUUUUCUCAUGCAAUGAAUCCAUUGUGAUUUUGUAUUGUUGUCUGAGCUACACACGACUGACUCUUCCCUUGGUUUUGUUUUCUGAGGGUAGGCUUUGGCAUGAUAUUAUUCAAAUGCUUCAGUUUCUCACCUGGAGACUUAUUAUUUCAGAAAAUUAACGUUUGAAAAAGUAACCUGAGUAUCUUUUGUACGGACGAAAUAUUCAUAAAUUUAAC